This 23-nucleotide microRNA is filed under the name Petromyzon marinus (sea lamprey). RNAcentral's name for it is "pma-miR-4584". Lineage: Eukaryota; Metazoa; Chordata; Hyperoartia; Petromyzontiformes; Petromyzontidae. The record is from miRBase by way of RNAcentral.
UCUGACGAUUUGGCCCACGUGCU